AUGGAUCACUUCAACGUUCCAGAGCAGUGGAGAAUGAAGGUGGAACACGCUGCACUGAAGAAGGCUAGGGAUGCUUGGAGAAACUGGAAGCAUGCGCUGUACAAGAAGUACUUGAGUGAAGGCAAGGACCCAAUCCCCGCAUACCCCCAAAUUAUAAAGGCAUACUGGGCAGAAUUCAAAAGGGUCAGGGCAACUACGGAGUUUGCUACGAAGAGUGCCAAGCAAUCGGAACUUCAGAAGAGGAACACACACACCCACUGUAUGGGUGUCGCGGGAUACUACGGCAUGAAACCAAUAUGGGACCAGGAGGACAAAGAAGCAAUAGCUGCGGGUGGGAAACCGGCCUUUAGUGAAAUUAGGGGUGAACACGCUAGAGACUACUUGCGGGCAUGUGCAAGGAGGUGUGAUGACGGAACUUAUUACUUUGAAAACUCACAUAACGAAAAAUUGUAUUGUGUGAUGUUAAAGGCUUCCGAGAUCCCUGGAAGAUUCUACAGGAACUCAGGGCCAUGUGACAUUAUGUCCGGUGCUCUAGAAACACGAGAGCCCCCUGGCCGUGCAAGGGUAUAG
Molecule: ribosomal RNA, 570 nt
Filed under: Triticum aestivum (bread wheat)
Lineage: Eukaryota; Viridiplantae; Streptophyta; Magnoliopsida; Poales; Poaceae
Description: partial small subunit ribosomal RNA
Source: RNAcentral